GAUGAACGCUGGCGGCGUGCCUAAUACAUGCAAGUCGAGCGAACGGACGAGAAGCUUGCUUCUCUGAUGUUAGCGGCGGACGGGUGAGUAACACGUGGAUAACCUACCUAUAAGACUGGGAUAACUUCGGGAAACCGUAGCUAAUACCGGAUAAUAUUUUGAACCGUAUGGUUCAAAAGUGAAAGACGGUCUUGCUGUCACUUAUAGAUGGAUCCGCGCUGCAUUAGCUAGUUGGUAAGGUAACGGCUUACCAAGGCAACGAUGCAUAGCCGACCUGAGAGGGUGAUCGGCCACACUGGAACUGAGACACGGUCCAGACUCCUACGGGAGGCAGCAGUAGGGAAUCUUCCGCAAUGGGCGAAAGCCUGGCGGAGCAACGCCGCGUGAGUGAUGAAGGUCUUCGGAUCGUAAAACUCUGUUAUUAGGGAAGAACAUAUGUGUAAGUAACUGUGCACAUCUUGACGGUACCUAAUCAGAAAGCCACGGCUAACUACGUG
RNAcentral lists this ribosomal RNA (497 nucleotides) under uncultured bacterium. Its description in RNAcentral is "partial 16S ribosomal RNA". It matches the Rfam family "Bacterial small subunit ribosomal RNA", at positions 28 to 507 of the family's 1533-position model. The record is from RNAcentral.